UCAGAGAAGCAUCCUGAAAAA
Molecule: non-coding RNA, 21 nt
Filed under: Caenorhabditis elegans
Lineage: Eukaryota; Metazoa; Nematoda; Chromadorea; Rhabditida; Rhabditidae
Source: RNAcentral